CCUACGGGGGGCAGCAGUGGGGAAUAUUGCACAAUGGGGGAAACCCUGAUGCAGCGACGCCGCGUGAGUGAAGAAGUAUUUCGGUACGUAAAGCUCUAUCAGCAGGGAAGAAAAUGACGGUACCUGACUAAGAAGCCCCGGCUAACUACGUGCCAGCAGCCGCGGUAAUACGUAGGGGGCAAGCGUUAUCCGGAUUUACUGGGUGUAAAGGGAGCGUAGACGGCAGCGCAAGUCUGGAGUGAAAUCCCAUGGCUUAACCAUGGAACUGCUUUGGAAACUGUGCAGCUAGAGUGCAGGAGAGGUAAGCGGAAUGCGUAGUGUAGCGGUGAAAUGCGUAGAUAUUAGGAGGAACACCAGUGGCGAAGGCGGCUUACUGGACUGUAACUGACGUUGAGGCUCGAAAGCGUGGGGAGCAAACAGGAUUAGAUACCCGGGUAGUC
This 440-nucleotide ribosomal RNA is filed under the name uncultured bacterium. Its description in RNAcentral is "partial 16S ribosomal RNA". It matches the Rfam family "Bacterial small subunit ribosomal RNA", at positions 338 to 795 of the family's 1533-position model. The record is from RNAcentral.